GACCCGAAACCAGGUGAUCUACCCAUGUCCAGGAUGAAGGUAAGGUAAUACUUACUGGAGGUCCGAACCCACGCACGUUGAAAAGUGCGGGGAUGAGGUGUGGGUAGCGGAGAAAUUCCAAUCGAACUUGGAGAUAGCUGGUUCUCUCCGAAAUAGCUUUAGGGCUAGCCUCGAGGUAAAGAGUCAUGGAGGUAGAGCACUGUUUGGACUAGGGGCCCUUCUCGGGUUACCGAAUUCAGAUAAACUCCGAAUGCCAUGUACUUAUACUCGGGAGUCAGACUGCGAGUGAUAAGAUCCGUAGUCGAAAGGGAAACAGCCCAGACCACCAGUUAAGGUCCCCAAAUAUAUGUUAAGUGGAAAAGGAUGUGGGGUUGCUUAGACAACCAGGAUGUUGGCUUAGAAGCAGCCACCAUUGAAAGAGUGCGUAAUAGCUCACUGGUCGAGUGACCCCGCGCCGAAAAUGUACCGGGGCUAAACAUAUUACCGAAACUGUGGAUGAACCUCUUUAGAGGUUCGUGGUAGGAGAGCGUUCUAAGGGCGGUGAAGUCAGACCGGAAGGACUGGUGGAGCGCUUAGAAGUGAGAAUGCCGGUAUGAGUAGCGAAAGAAGGGUGAGAAUCCCUUCCACCGAAUAUCUAAGGUUUCCUGAGGAAGGCUCGUCCGCUCAGGGUUAGUCGGGACCUAAGCCGAGGCCGAUAGGCGUAGGCGAUGGACAACAGGUAGAGAUUCCUGUACCAGUGCUAAUUGUUUAACCGAUGGGGUGACACAGAAGGAUAGGGAAUCGCACGAAUGGAAAUGUGCGUCCAAGCAGUGAGUGUGAGAAGUAGGCAAAUCCGCUUCUCGCGAAGCAUGAGCUGUGAUGGGGAAGGAAAUUAAGUACGGAAGUUCCUGAUUUCACGCUGUCAAGAAAAGCCUCUAGGAAGAGUAGUACUGCCCGUACCGCAAACCGACACAGGUAGAUGAGGAGAGAAUCCUAAGGUGAGCGAGAGAACUCUCGUUAAGGAACUCGGCAAAAUGACCCCGUAACUUCGGGAGAAGGGGUGCUCUAUUAGGGUGCAAGCCCGAGAGAGCCGCAGUGAAUAGGCCCAGGCGACUGUUUAGCAAAAACACAGGUCUCUGCAAAACCGUAAGGUGACGUAUAGGGGCUGACGCCUGCCCGGUGCUGGAAGGUUAAGAGGAGUGCUUAGCUUCGGCGAAGGUACGAAUUGAAGCCCCAGUAAACGGCGGCCGUAACUAUAACGGUCCUAAGGUAGCGAAAUUCCUUGUCGGGUAAGUUCCGACCCGCACGAAAGGCGCAACGAUCUGGGCACUGUCUCAACGAGAGACUCGGUGAAAUUAUAGUACCUGUGAAGAUGCAGGUUACCCGCGACAGGACGGAAAGACCCCGUGGAGCUUUACUGCAACCUGAUAUGGAAUGUUUGUACCGCUUGUACAGGAUAGGUAGGAGCCGAAGAGACGUGUGCGCUAGCAUACGAGGAGGCAAUGGUGGGAUACUACCCUGGCUGUAUGACCAUUCUAACCCGCCACGCUUAGCGCGUGGGGAGACAGUGUCAGGUGGGCAGUUUGACUGGGGCGGUCGCCUCCUAAAGAGUAACGGAGGCGCCCAAAGGUUCCCUCAGAAUGGAUGGAAAUCAUUCGCAGAGUGUAAAGGCACAAGGGAGCUUGACUGCGAGACUGACAAGUCGAGCAGGGACGAAAGUCGGGCUUAGUGAUCCGGUGGUUCCGCAUGGAAGGGCCAUCGCUCAACGGAUAAAAGCUACCCCGGGGAUAACAGGCUUAUCUCCCCCAAGAGUCCACAUCGACGGGGAGGUUUGGCACCUCGAUGUCGGCUCGUCGCAUCCUGGGGCUGUAGUCGGUCCCAAGGGUUGGGCUGUUCGCCCAUUAAAGCGGCACGCGAGCUGGGUUCAGAACGUCGUGAGACAGUUCGGUCCCUAUCCGUCGCGGGCGCAGGAAAUUUGAGAGGAGCUGUCCUUAGUACGAGAGGACCGGGAUGGACACACCGCUGGUGUACCAGUUGUUCCGCCAGGAGCAUCGCUGGGUAGCUAUGUGUGGCAGGGAUAAACGCUGAAAGCAUCUAAGCGUGAAGCCCCCCUCAAGAUGAGAUUUCCCAUUUCUUCGGAAAGUAAGAUCCCUGAAAGAUGAUCAGGUAGAUAGGUUUGGAGUGGAAGUGUAGCGAUACAUGGAGCGGACAAAUACUAAUCGAUCGAGGACUUAACCAAAA
RNAcentral lists this ribosomal RNA (2220 nucleotides) under Listeria monocytogenes. Its description in RNAcentral is "partial 23S ribosomal RNA". It matches the Rfam family "Bacterial large subunit ribosomal RNA", at positions 712 to 2925 of the family's 2925-position model. The record is from RNAcentral. Lineage: Bacteria; Bacillati; Bacillota; Bacilli; Caryophanales; Listeriaceae.